UUGAACUGAAGAGAAGAAUGGAGCUUGAGUCCAAAUAGGGCAAGCACUUGCACAUCGUAAGAAGAGUUCUAUGAAGCUUCAGAAGAGAUGUGAAGCUAGUACAAAGAUAAGAUAGUGAUCAAGAAGAGUAGUAAUCAGAGUUGGGAGAUCUUUGGAGGAGUAUGGGAGCUUAAGGGCGAGGCCGGUUCGGAUGGUACGUACAGCCCUCCUGGACUUGGCCCUAUCUUUGCACAGCCCUUCGACCACUUCUGGAGCUCAUAAGACACUUCUUAAGCUUGAUAGCAAUCUCUAUAAGACUUGCCCUAUCUUUGCACCAGACCCAAACUCCUCCAUACUUCUCCUUUGUCUCCAUUUCUUUUCUUCAAGUUAACACUCCCCCUCAAGCUUGACUUUAGCUGAUCCUAAGUCAAGCUUGGAACCUUGAAGAACUUCCUCAUUAAAAACCUCACCAAGGAAAACCCUUUGGGACAAAACCUUGAUGAGGGAAAAAGAGUAAAGCCUCCAAGGCCUAGGGAUUGGCCAGUGAGUCUUUGUGCCUUACCAACAAUGUAAGGGACACAAAGACUCUGGAUCAUGGCCCUAAUGUGAUGCAAGAUAGAACCCACUCCUCUUGCUCAUCAUCAACACUUCUUGUACUCUUCUUUAGACAGAUCUUGGUCUCUCCCCCUUUCUCACAAUCUUCUUGUUGUGUAUCAAGUGCUCGGACUAACAGAUCUUCCUUGAUAGAUACAAGCUGAGUCUUGGCUGCUUCUUCUUCAUGAGUCACCACCAUGUUACUGAAACCUUCAUGACCGGAUGCUUCAGACUGUAGUACCAAUCACCUCACUCUAGAGGCCGCAUUGGUGAUUGCUUCUUCAUCCUUCAUAACUGAUCUGAUCCUCUUCUUGAAUAACCACCAAGUACUCUCAGAUCAUGUAAGCUUCAACACUCCCCCUCAAGCUUGAGACUCUCACAGGAACAAGCUUGGAUGGAUAGCUUCAUGAUCUGUACCAUUAC
Molecule: long non-coding RNA, 996 nt
Filed under: Brassica rapa (field mustard)
Lineage: Eukaryota; Viridiplantae; Streptophyta; Magnoliopsida; Brassicales; Brassicaceae
Description: long non-coding RNA (BRAP_LNC008140)
Source: RNAcentral